GGAAGUAAAAGUCGAACAAGGUCUCCGUUGGUGAACCAGCGGAGGGAUCAUUACCGAGUUUACAACUCCCAAACCCCUGUGAACUUAUACCUUUACUGUUGCUUCGGCGGGUCAUUGCCCCGGGGAAACAGGCGGCCGUCAGGUCCCUGCCCACCCGGAAACAGGCGCCCGCCGGGGGACUCAAACUCUUCUGUAUUUUUUUGUUUACUGUAUACUGUCUGAGUAAAAAUUCAUAAUGAAUCAAAACCUUCAACAACGGAUCUCUUGGUUCUG
RNAcentral lists this unclassified non-coding RNA (273 nucleotides) under plant metagenome. Its description in RNAcentral is "partial contains small subunit ribosomal RNA, internal transcribed spacer 1, and 5.8S ribosomal RNA". The stretch from base 1 to 53 matches the Rfam family "Eukaryotic small subunit ribosomal RNA", at positions 1778 to 1831 of the family's 1831-position model. The record is from RNAcentral.